RNAcentral lists this small RNA (243 nucleotides) under Jaculus jaculus (lesser Egyptian jerboa). RNAcentral's name for it is "7SK RNA (ENSJJAG00000008100.1)". The stretch from base 1 to 149 matches the Rfam family "7SK RNA". From Rfam's summary of the family: 7SK was discovered as an abundant small nuclear RNA in the mid-70s but a possible function has only recently been suggested. Two independent studies have found that 7SK RNA binds the CDK9/cyclin T complex (known as elongation factor P-TEFb). P-TEFb activates transcription by phosphorylating the C-terminal domain of RNA polymerase II. The record is from RNAcentral. Lineage: Eukaryota; Metazoa; Chordata; Mammalia; Rodentia; Dipodidae.
GGAUGGAAAGGCCAUCUGGCCACAACAUCUGUCACUUUACAGAUCACCAAGGUUAAUUCAGCUGAUCUGGCUGGCCAGGAGGAUGUCUGCUUCCUCACAGUUCCAUGAGAUCCCUCCCAAAGAGGGGGACAGCCUUUCUGGGCAUGGUGGCACACACCUUUAAUCCCAGCAUUCAGGAGGCAGAGGUAGGAGAAUGGCUGUGAGUUCAAGGCCAGCCUGGGACUCCAGAAUGAGUUCCAGGUU